GGGGAUUUAGCUCAGUGGCAUAAGCGCCUGCCUUGCAAGCAGGUGGUCAUGAUCCCUG
RNAcentral lists this transfer RNA (58 nucleotides) under Cavia porcellus (domestic guinea pig). Lineage: Eukaryota; Metazoa; Chordata; Mammalia; Rodentia; Caviidae. The record is from Rfam by way of RNAcentral.